This is a long non-coding RNA of Passer domesticus (house sparrow), 3691 nucleotides long. RefSeq lists it as uncharacterized. The transcript has 3 exons. NCBI's taxonomy places the organism in Eukaryota, Metazoa, Chordata, Aves, Passeriformes, Passeridae. The record is from RefSeq and is a predicted model, not a curated record.
ACUACAGAACCUCAUGGAACCAUGGGUCAGUUGUGACACUCUGGUGCCUCAUGGAAUCAAGGAGACCAUUGUGAAACCUGGGGUGCCCAAGGAGGCAAGGGUCCAUGGUAACCUUGUGGAGCCCGCAGUGUCACAGAAGAGGCAUUGUGAAACAGCAAGGGCACAGGGAGCCCAGGGGCCAUGGUGACACAUCAGGGCUUUGUGGAAUCAUGAAGCAUGGUGACAUUGCAAGGCCUCAUGGGAGCACAGGGCCAUUGUGACACUGCAGAAGCAGGGGGAACAUUGUGACACUCCAGGGCCUCAUGGAACUAAGGAGACCAUUGGGACACUGUGGGGUCCCAAGAAACCAAUGGACCAUGGAACAAGUCUGGCUGGCUGGGCCUCAUGGGGACCACCUGACAGGUCCAGCUGACCUUGGCAUGUUGAGGGCUGCUUCUCAUCUGUCCCUGAAGCACUGGGGCUCAGGGCUUUCCUUCAUAGUGGAGAGAGCUGUCCUUCUCCUCCAGGGGCGAUGGCCAAAAUUGGGAUUCUUCCUCCAAAUUUCCUUACAUGCAAAGAUUGUUCCCAGAUGAAAUCUGCCAGGACUAACAAAUCUGUCUGUCUUGGCCCCCCAAGGGCCAUCUCCCAUCUGCCUUUGAAACACUGGGACCAUGUGCUUCUCUUUCUUAUGGGAAAAAAAACAUCCAUCUCGACCAGGCACUCAUAGCCAAAAUUGGGAAUCUGCUUCCAGAAUUCUCUAUAACCAAGGAUAACUCCCAGACAAAAGCUGUCCCCACUGAAAAGUCUGGCAGGCCUUGGCUUCCUGAGGGCUGGCACUCAUCUUCCUCUGAAACCCUUGGGCUCUGUGCUUUCCUUCCUAAUGAAAAGAACUCGUCUGGUUGUCCAGGCACCCACAGCCAAAACUGAGAUUCCACCUCCAAAAUACCCUAUGUCCAAGAACAGCCCAUAGAGACAGGCUGUGUUGGCCUAAAAGUUUAAUAUUCCGAAACGCUUGGACUUGGCAUUUUUCUUUCCUGUAGGUAAAAACCAUCCAUCCUGACAAGGUGCCCAUGGCCAAAACUGGGAUUGCACCUCCAAAACUCCAUACAUCCAAGGAUUGCUCCCAAAUGAAAGCUGCCAGGACAGACAGGUCUGGCUGCCCUUGGCCUCUUGGGGGCUGCCUCUCACCUGUUUUUCAAACACUGGGGCUCUGUGCUUUUCUUCCAAUGGAAAAGAACUGUCCUUCUUCUCAAAGUGUCCAUAGUCAAAAUUGAGAUUCCUUCUCCCAAAUUCCACAUAUACAAGGAUUCCUCCAUAAUAAAAACUGCCAGGACAAAUAGGUCUGGCUGGCUUGGCCUCCCAGGAGCCACCUCUCUCCUUUUCUGUCUUUGAAACCCUUGGUCUCUGGGCUUUUCUUCCUAGGGAAAAGAACCACCCUUCUUGUCUAUAUAGAAAUGGCCAAAAUUGGGAUUCCACCUCCCAAAUUCCUUAUAUCCUAGGGUUGCUGUCAGACAAAAGCUACCAGGACAGAGGUCUGGCUGGCCUAGACCUCUGAUGGCCGCCUUUCAUCUGCCCCGCAAACACCGGUGUUCUGUGCUUUCCUUCCCAUGGAAAAGAACCGUCCUCUUCUGGGAGUCCAUGUCUGAAAUUGGGAUUCCACCUCUAAAAUUUUGUAUAUCCAAGGGUUGCUCUCAGGAAAAAUCUACCAGUACUGUCAAGUCUGGCUGGUCUUGGCCUCUGAUGACUGCCCUGCAACACUGGGGCUGGGUUCUUUCCUUCCCAUGGAGACCCCUGGGACACUGUGGGGACCUCAUGAAGCCAAGGGGAUCCUUGUGGCACCACUGGAGCCCAUGGAACCAAGGGGCCGUGGUGACACAUCAGGGCUUCAUGGAACCCAGAGACUAUUGUGACCAUGGAGACCAUUGUGACCCUUCAGGGCCUCGUGUCACCAAGGGGGCAUUGGGACACCUCAGGGCCUCAUGGAAGCAAGGGACCAUUGGGACACUGUGGGGCUCCAUGGAACCGAGGGAAUGUGGAACAGGUCUGGCUGGCUUGGUGUCCCAGGGACCACCUGACAGUGCUUCCAUCCUUGCUUGAGGGAGAAGAAAGGACAAAGUGCAGGCAAAUAGAGGAGCAACAUGAAGACACCGAGGUCAGUGAAGGGGAAGUUGAGUCCCAGACUGGGGGGAUGAGAAAGUGCCUUGAUCUUGGGGCUGAAAUCCUCAUGUAAAGCUAUGGAGAAAUGAUACAUCAGACUCUCUUUUUCCUUAAAACACAUUUAAAAUAUGGGGAGAUUACUUGUUCAGCAAAGGCCUCCAUGCUAAAAUUAGCAAAUAUUGAAGUAGCUAUGAUCCCAUGAGAAGUUUGAACAGAGAAAGAGAGAAGAGUGAUGAGACCCUGUGGCCUCAGGGAGAGAAGAAAAAGAUCUCUGUUCCCAGAGAUGAAGAUGAUUUCACAAAUAGAUUAAGAGAACCUUUGCUCUUUAACAGCUCAUCUAUAAACUAAUACCCCAUAAGUUGGCGUAUGACGCGGCUCAUAAACAGAACAGUGGGAAAAGCUCUGAAGAAAUGGGAGGGACUUCAUGAUUGCAGAUUUUUCCAGACAGCUGCUAUUGGUUGAAAUUCAAAGCCACACAACAACUGUUUUCUUAUGGAGAAGUCUCCAUUAGCCACAGGAACUUCUCUCCCAAAGUGAACUGAAGAAAGACAAUUUUAGAGGUGGUAAACUGACCGAAAAUUUUAGGUUUUGUCUCUUUAUAUUGAGAGUAAAAAAGAAAACACAGGAAGAGGAGAGGUGUUCAGAAAGUUUUGUUCUGAUUCUUAUAACUCUUUCUUUUAGUUACUAUUAAUAAACUUUCCUUUAUAUCCUUUUAAAGUUUUGAGCCUACUUUACCUUUCUCCUAUUUCUAUCUCAAAGCAGGAAAUGAGUAAGUAUAUUCUAGUGCAUGCACCGGUAUUUUACCAACACUGAACUCACCACACUAAUUGAUGAAUUGGCCAAGAAUUGUCAAAUUGGCAAACCAAAACCUCUACAGAAGCCUUCCUGAAGAACUUUCAUGAGAGCAGAGGGAAAUCAAGGCAGAACGAUGGUUUGUCAGGACCUGCUUGAUCCUAAUGAGCCCCGUGGUGCAUUUGGAGCUGAGCCCUGGAACAUCAGGGCUUGAAAGUAGAUUGCAAAAACCUUUCAAGGAGUCAAAGUUAGAGGAAAACCCCAAAGUGUCUCAAGGGCCUGGGGACACUUUCUCAGUCAUGUGCCUCAGUGGGACCCAUUAAAAGUCCAAGAAACUUUGGAGUUGGAUUCUGACUUGGAGUUCUGGAGAGGUUUCUUCAGCUGCCUCUCAGGGACUGAUGUUCAGGGCCCGAGCACAAAGCCCCAGAGGGUCAUUAAAGUCCUGCUGCUGUGUCUCUGCUGCUGAGCUGGGCUGGGCUCCUGGCACAGAGGCAGCUCCUGGUAAGCAAGAAGAGCUUCAAAAGCACAUUUCCCUUGAUGAGCAGCUCUUCUGCCAGCCCAGCAGGGCUGGGGCACUGCCUGCAGCCAGCCCGGCCACAGCCCAGAGGCACAGAGAGCUUCAAUCAGUCAGGUCUGGGAAGGUGCUGAGAAGUGCCUGGGGCAGAAUCGCUGCCAGUCCUUGGCACAGGAACCUCUGGCUGCAGGACAAUGCAGCUGCAGCUCCUGGAGUGAUUUCCUAAAGCUGGAACGUCCCAAUGCCUGC